GUGGGGAAUUUUGGACAAUGGGCGCAAGCCUGAUCCAGCCAUUCCGCGUGCAGGAUGAAGGCCUUCGGGUUGUAAACUGCUUUUGUACGGAACGAAACGGUCCUGGCUAAUAUCCGGGGCUAAUGACGGUACCGUAAGAAUAAGCACCGGCUAACUACGUGCCAGCAGCCGCGGUAAUACGUAGGGUGCGAGCGUUAAUCGGAAUUACUGGGCGUAAAGCGUGCGCAGGCGGUGCUGUAAGACAGGCGUGAAAUCCCCGGGCUCAACCUGGGAAUUGCGCUUGUGACUGCAGUGCUGGAGUGCGGCAGAGGGGGAUGGAAUUCCGCGUGUAGCAGUGAAAGGCGUAGAUAUGCGGAGGAACACCGAUGGCGAAGGCAAUCCCCUGGGCCUGCACUGACGCUCAUGCACGAAAGCGUGGGGAGCAAACAGGAUUAGAAACCCUUGUAGUCC
This 450-nucleotide ribosomal RNA is filed under the name uncultured bacterium. Its description in RNAcentral is "partial 16S ribosomal RNA". It matches the Rfam family "Bacterial small subunit ribosomal RNA", at positions 354 to 796 of the family's 1533-position model. The record is from RNAcentral.